UAGCUAGUUGGUGAGGUAAAGGCUUACCAAGGCGACGAUCUGUAGCGGGUCUGAGAGGAUGAUCCGCCACACUGGAACUGAGACACGGUCCAGACUCCUACGGGAGGCAGCAGUGGGGAAUUUUGGACAAUGGGGGCAACCCUGAUCCAGCCAUGCCGCGUGAGUGAAGAAGGCCUUCGGGUUGUAAAGCUCUUUCGGCCGGGAAGAAAUCGCAUGGGCCAAUACCCUGUGUGGAUGACGGUACCGGAAUAAGAAGCACCGGCUAACCACGUGCCAGCAGCCGCGGUAAUACGUAGGGUGCGAGCGUUAAUCGGAAUUACUGGGCGUAAAGCGUGCGCAGGCGGUUUUGUAAGACAGGCGUGAAAUCCCCGGGCUUAACCUGGGAACUGCGUUUGUGACUGCAAGGCUAGAGUACGGCAGAGGGGGGUGGAAUUCCACGUGUAGCAGUGAAAUGCGUAGAGAUGUGGAGGAACACCAAUGGCGAAGGCAGCCCCCUGGGUCGAUACUGACGCUCAUGCACGAAAGCGUGGGUAGCAAACAGGAUUAGAUACCCUGGUAGUCCACGCCCUAAACUAUGUCAACUAGGUGUUGGGUGGGUAAAACCAUUUAGUACCGUAGCUAACGCGUGAAGUUGACCGCCUGGGGAGUACGGCCGCAAGGUUAAAACUCAAAGGAAUUGACGGGGACCCGCACAAGCGGUGGAUGAUGUGGAUUAAUUCGAUGCAACGCGAAAAACCUUACCUACCCUUGACAUGCCAGGAACUUGCCAGAGAUGGCUUGGUGCCCGAAAGGGAGCCUGGACACAGGUGCUGCAUGGCUGUCGUCAGCUCGUGUCGUGAGAUGUUGGGUUAAGUCCCGCAACGAGCGCAACCCUUGUCGUUAAUUGCCAUCAUUUAGUUGGGCACUUUAACGAGACUGCCGGUGACAAACCGGAGGAAGGUGGGGAUGACGUCAAGUCCUCAUGGCCCUUAUGGGUAGGGCUUCACACGUCAUACAAUGGUCGGUACAAAGGGUUGCCAAGCCGCGAGGCGGAGCCAAUCCCAGAAAGCCGAUCGUAGUCCGGAUUGCAGGCUGCAACUCGCCUGCAUGAAGUCGGAAUCGCUAGUAAUCGUGGAUCAGCAUGUCACGGUGAAUACGUUCCCGGGUCUCGUACACACCGCCCGUCACACCAUGGGAGCGGGUUCCGCCAGAAGUAGGUAGCCUAACCGCAAGGGGGGCGCUUACCACGGCGGGGUUCGUGACUGGGGUGAAGUCGGAACAAGGUAGCCGUAGGGGAACCUGCGGCUG
This 1287-nucleotide ribosomal RNA is filed under the name metagenome. RNAcentral describes it as "bacterial SSU rRNA". It matches the Rfam family "Bacterial small subunit ribosomal RNA", at positions 242 to 1520 of the family's 1533-position model. The record is from RNAcentral.